GUGCAUCGGGCAAUCUGUCGAUGAUUUUUGAUUUUGAUGCUAGCAACGUGCCAUCAAAGUCAAAAAUCAUCGACAGAUUGUCGAUGUUC
Non-coding RNA from Marchantia polymorpha subsp. ruderalis, 89 nucleotides. NCBI's taxonomy places the organism in Eukaryota, Viridiplantae, Streptophyta, Marchantiopsida, Marchantiales, Marchantiaceae. The record is from the annotation of a GenBank genome assembly.